UACGUAGGGUGCGAGCGUUAAUCGGAAUUAUUGGGCGUAAAGCGCACGUAGGCGGCUUUUUAAGUCAGGGGUGAAAUCCUGGAGCUCAACUCCAGAACUGCCUUUGAUACUGGAGAGCUUGAGUCCGGGAGAGGUGAGUGGAACUCCGAGUGUAGAGGUGAAAUUCGUAGAUAUUCGGAAGAACACCAGUGGCGAAGGCGGCUCACUGGCCCGGUACUGACGCUGAGGUGCGAAAGCGUGGGGAGCAAACAGG
RNAcentral lists this ribosomal RNA (253 nucleotides) under uncultured bacterium. Its description in RNAcentral is "partial 16S ribosomal RNA". It matches the Rfam family "Bacterial small subunit ribosomal RNA", at positions 524 to 776 of the family's 1533-position model. The record is from RNAcentral.